This 484-nucleotide ribosomal RNA is filed under the name uncultured bacterium. Its description in RNAcentral is "partial 16S ribosomal RNA". It matches the Rfam family "Bacterial small subunit ribosomal RNA", at positions 30 to 507 of the family's 1533-position model. The record is from RNAcentral.
AUUGAACGCUGGCGGCAGGCCUAACACAUGCAAGUCGAGCGGAUGAAGGGAGCUUGCUCCUGGAUUCAGCGGCGGACGGGUGAGUAAUGCCUAGGAAUCUGCCUGGUAGUGGGGGAUAACGUCCGGAAACGGGCGCUAAUACCGCAUACGUCCUGAGGGAGAAAGUGGGGGAUCUUCGGACCUCACGCUAUCAGAUGAGCCUAGGUCGGAUUAGCUAGUUGGUGGGGUAAAGGCCUACCAAGGCGACGAUCCGUAACUGGUCUGAGAGGAUGAUCAGUCACACUGGAAAUGAGAAAAGGUCCAGACUCCUACGGGAGGCAGAAGUGGGGAAUAUUGGACAAUGGGCGAAAGCCUGAUCCAGCCAUGCCGCGUGUGUGAAGAAGGUCUUCGGAUUGUAAAGCACUUUAAGUUGGGAGGAAGGGCAGUAAGUUAAUACCUUGCUGUUUUGACGUUACCAACAGAAUAAGCACCGGCUAACUUCGUG